RNAcentral lists this ribosomal RNA (400 nucleotides) under uncultured bacterium. RNAcentral's name for it is "bacterial SSU rRNA". It matches the Rfam family "Bacterial small subunit ribosomal RNA", at positions 355 to 772 of the family's 1533-position model. The record is from RNAcentral.
UGGGGAAUAUUGGUAAUGGGCGAAAGCCUGAACCAGCAACGCCGCGUGAGCGAUGAAGGCCUUCGGGUUGUAAAGCUCUUUUUAUGGGGACGAGGAAGGACGGUACCCAUAGAAUAAGCCUCGGCUAACUACGUGCCAGCAGCCGCGGUAAAACGUAGGAGGCGAGCGUUAUCCGGAUUUACUGGGCGUAAAGCGCGUGCAGGCGGUUUGGAAAGUUGGAUGUGAAAGCUCCUGGCUUAACUGGGAGAGGUCGUUCAAUACUUCCAGACUAGAGGAUGUGAGAGGAAAGCGGAAUUCCGAGUGUAGUGGUGAAAUGCGUAGAUAUUCGGAGGAACACCAGUGGCGAAAGCGGCUUUCUGGCACAUUACUGACGCUCAGACGCGAAAGCUAGGGUAGCAAA